RNAcentral lists this ribosomal RNA (497 nucleotides) under uncultured bacterium. RNAcentral's name for it is "partial 16S ribosomal RNA". It matches the Rfam family "Bacterial small subunit ribosomal RNA", at positions 28 to 507 of the family's 1533-position model. The record is from RNAcentral.
GAUGAACGCUGGCGGCGUGCCUAAUACAUGCAAGUCGAGCGAACAGACGAGGAGCUUGCUUCUUUGACGUUAGCGGCGGACGGGUGAGUAACAUGUGGGUAACCUACAUAUAAGACUGGGAUAACUUCGGGAAACCGGAGCUAAUACCGGAUAAUAUUUCGAACCGCAUGGUUCGAUAGUGAAAGAUGGCUCUGCUCUCACUUAUAGAUGGUCCUGCGCUGUUUUAGCUAGUUGGUAAGGUAACGGCUUACCAAGGCAACGAUACGUAGCCGACCUGAGAGGGUGAUCGGCCACACUGGAACUGAGACACGGUCCAGACUCCUACGGGAGGCAGCAGUAGGGAAUCUUCCGCAAUGGGCGAAAGCCUGACGGAGCGACGCCGCGUGAGUGAUGAAGGUCUUCGGGUCGUAAAACUCUGUUAUUAGGGAAGAACAAACGUGUAAGUAACUGUGCACGUCUUGACGGUACCUAAUCAGAAAGCCACGGCUAACUACGUG